GAUGAACGCUAGCGAUAGGCCUAACACAUGCAAGUCGAGGGGCAGCACGGGUAGCAAUACUUGGUGGCGACCGGCGCAAGGGUGCGUAACGCGUGAGCAACAUGCCCGUAUCAGGGGGAUAAUCCAUGGAAACGUGGUCUAAUACCCCAUAGUAAGUUUUGGGGCAUCUCAAAGAUUUUAAAGCUUUGGUGGAUACGGAUUGGCUCGCGUGACAUUAGCUAGAUGGUAAGGUAACGGCUUACCAUGGCUACGAUGUCUAGGGGUUCUGAGAGGAAGGUCCCCCACACUGGAACUGAGACACGGUCCAGACUCCUACGGGAGGCAGCAGUGAGGAAUAUUGGACAAUGGAUGGAGAUCUGAUCCAGCCAUGCCGCGUGCAGGAAGAAUGUCCUAUGGAUUGUAAACUGCUUUUGCAGGGGAUAAAGUGAGCCACGUGUGGUUUUUUGUAUGUACUCUGCGAAUAAGGAUCGGCUAACUCCGUG
Molecule: ribosomal RNA, 482 nt
Filed under: uncultured bacterium
Lineage: Bacteria
Description: bacterial SSU rRNA
Rfam family: Bacterial small subunit ribosomal RNA
Source: RNAcentral